Molecule: ribosomal RNA, 466 nt
Filed under: uncultured bacterium
Lineage: Bacteria
Description: partial 16S ribosomal RNA
Rfam family: Bacterial small subunit ribosomal RNA
Source: RNAcentral
GAUGAACGCUGGCGGCGUGCUUAACACAUGCAAGUCGAACGGAAAGGCUCCUGCUUGCAGGGGUACUCGAGUGGCGAACGGGUGAGUAACACGUGGGUGAUCUGCCCUGCACUUCGGGAUAAGCCUGGGAAACUGGGUCUAAUACCGGAUAGGACGAUGGUUUGGAUGCCAUUGUGGAAAGUUUUUUCGGUGUGGGAUGAGCUCGCGGCCUAUCAGCUUGUUGGUGGGGUAAUGGCCUACCAAGGCGUCGACGGGUAGCCGGCCUGAGAGGGUGUACGGCCACAUUGGGACUGAGAUACGGCCCAGACUCCUACGGGAGGCAGCAGUGGGGAAUAUUGCACAAUGGGCGCAAGCCUGAUGCAGCGACGCCGCGUGGGGAAUGACGGCCUUCGGGUUGUAAACUCCUUUCGCUAGGGACGAAGCGCAAGUGACGGUACCUGGAGAAGAAGCACCGGCUAACUACGUG